CAUAUUUGUUCAACUCCCUAACUGAUCCUUGCUUUUCCUACUGCUCCCAUUAUUUGUCAAUACUUCCAUAUCUAUCCGUACUGUUCGCUUGUGAGCAAUUCCUUGUACUUCCGUUGUACUUUCCCAAGGACUUGAUACAAUGUCCAGCACUCAGAUGCUCAAUAAAUGUGAUGAUUACUACUACUGCUUUCAAAACAUUGGGAAGGAGGAUUAUAAACUGUUUUGACAUCAUCAGGACAAACAAAACAAUAUUAAAGUGUCUGGCUCCUUUUCCCCCUAGUCUUACCACUGUUCCCAACCAGCUGGAAUGGAUGGUUACCUCCGUGUGAAACUCUGCAAUAAACCAAACAGUGGCCCUAAAAAACUGAAAAACGCCAAAUGAGGAAAUGGACAUAUUUCAUCGCUGCUGAGGAAGUUUUGUGGAACUACGCACCCAUGAACGAAAAGCAGUUGGAUCAGUAAGUCAGUAGAGUGGGUGGAUGAAGAAAAAGCCCGCUUCAAGCAGCAGAUGAUAUUGGUUUAUAUUUUAGCUUAUCUUUCUCAGGAUCCUUCAGUUCAGGCAGACGGAGAAGAAUAAGGGUUCAAGCCUCAAGUGGAAGAAGGUUGGAGAACGAGGACAGUUUGGAAAAUAGGUAGUAAUAGUAGGUGAGGAGUUUGGAGGAGUGAGAAGCCCAAGAAAUUCCAGCCUCAUGCUAUAAAGGAAAAUGCAAGGUUUCUCUCCGAGCAAGGUGGCACAGAACAUCAAAUCCUGAAGAGCUUGGCCCCUCUCAAUACAGUCACUGUUGUUUCAGGCAGCAGAUAUGGGUCCCGGUGUAGGUUUUUCCAUGCUCCAAUAGAUUCCUCUUAGGAGCAAAUGUGAUGAUUUUUUCACUGUGUUUUUAUUUGGAGAAACUAUACAUCUCAGCGCUUGGACAACAUCUCCAGCCAAAUUGGGAAGAUAUAAGAAGGCUGUCUACAAACAGUAUGAGGAUGCCUCUUUCUCCAAGCGCCUGGAAAAUAGCAAACCCCAGGGAUCUGGAAUCUUGGACCCUAUUAUCAGAGCCCAGAUCAGAGAUACGAUCCAGAUCGUGUUCAAGAACUUGGCCGGUCGCCCCUAUAGCAUCUACCCUCACGGGGUGUCGCUUUCCAAGAGUGAAGAAGGAGCGUCUUACCCUGGGGAGGCCUCAGAAAAGCCAUCACGAAUUAACUUUCCUUCAGGCAACAGCACCCUGAGCAGAGCGGUGCAGCCGGGUGAAAUCUACACCUAUCAGUGGACCAUCCUGGAGUCCGACGAACCCUCCGAGAAGGACGCUCAGUGCGUCACGAGACCUUAUUACAGCGCCGUGGAUGUCUCGAGGGAUAUCGCCUCUGGCUUGAUCGGGCUCCUUCUGAUUUGCAAGGGCCGGUCCCUGAACGAACAGGGCAGACAGGUACCGUGUUCUGGCAGUUACCCUGCAGAGAGUGUGAAUGUUCGUCGAGGAGAGGAACAGCUCCUGAACUAGAGAGCAGAUUGGAUUUGAAUUCUGCACACCUAAUCUUAUUUCCCAAAAAACUGUUCCAGAAUUUGGUCACAGAGUGUUGGUCAGCAAAUUUAGGUAACUGGAGCUGGUUUUAC
This 1594-nucleotide long non-coding RNA is filed under the name Ornithorhynchus anatinus (platypus). Its description in RNAcentral is "lncRNA (ENSOANG00000047412.1)". The record is from RNAcentral. Lineage: Eukaryota; Metazoa; Chordata; Mammalia; Monotremata; Ornithorhynchidae.